This is a long non-coding RNA of Eriocheir sinensis (Chinese mitten crab), 1744 nucleotides long. RefSeq lists it as uncharacterized. The record is from RefSeq and is a predicted model, not a curated record. Lineage: Eukaryota; Metazoa; Arthropoda; Malacostraca; Decapoda; Varunidae. The transcript has 2 exons.
GACACACAUUUGACAAGGUUUUUAUAGGGCAUUUCCAGGGGUAGUUUUCUGACCCACGUGGUUGUUUGACGCUUCCUCUGUACCAUGAACCUAAAAAAGACACACAUUUGACAUGGUUUUUGUAGGAGUUAAGGGCAUUUCCAGGGGUAGUUUUCUGACCCAGGUGGUAGUUUGACUCUUCCUCUGUACCAUGAACCUAAAAAAGACACACAUUUGACAUGGUUUUUGUAGGAGUUAAGGGCAUUUCCAGGGGUAGUUUUCUGACCCUGGUGGUAGUCUGACUCUUCCUCUGUACCAUGAACCUAAAAAAGACACACAUUUGACAAGGUUUUCAUAGGAGUUACGGGCAUUUCCAGGGGUAGUUUUCUGACCCAGGUGGUAGUUUGACUCUUCCUCUGUACCAUGAACCUAAAAAAGACACACAUUUGACAAGGUUUUUAUAGGAGUUAAGGGCAUUUCCAGGGGUAGUUUUCUGACCCUGGUGGUAGUUUGACUCUUCCUCUGUACCAUGAACCUAAAAAAGACACACAUUUGACAAGGUUUUCAUAGGAGUUACGGGCAUUUCCAGGGGUAGUUUUCUGACCCAGGUGGUAGUUUGACUCUUCCUCUGUACCAUGAACCUAAAAAGACACAUUUCACAAGGUUUUCAUAGGAGUUACGGGCAUUUCCAGGGUUAGUUUGCUGACCCAGGUGGUAGUCUGACUCUUCCUCCGUACCAUGAACCUAAAAAGACACAUUUCACAAGGUUUUCAUAGGAGUUACGGGCAUUUCCAGGGGUAGUUUUCUGACCCUGGUGUUAGUUUGACGCCUUUUCUGUACCAUGAACCUAAAAAGACACGUAUUUGACAAGGCUUUCAUAGGAGUUACGGGCAUUUCCAUGGGUAGUUUUCUGACCCACGUGGUUGUUUGACGCUUCUUCUGUACCAUGAACCUAAAAAAGACACAUAUUUGACAAGGCUUUCAUAGGAGUUGUGGGCAUUUCCAGGGUUAGUUUGCUGACCCAGGUGGUAGUCUGACUCUUCCUCCGUACCAUGAACCUAAAAAAGACACAUAUUUGACAAGGCUUUCAUAGGAGUUACGGGCAUUUCCAUGGGUAGUUUGCUGACCCAGGUGGUAGUCUGACUCUUCCUCCGUACCAUGAACCUAAAAAAGACACAUAUUUGACAAGGCUUUCAUAGGAGUUACGGGCAUUUCCAUGGGUAGUUUUCUGACCCACGUGGUACUCUGACUCUUCCUCUGUACCAUGAACUUAAAAAAGACACAUAUUUGACAAGGCUUUCAUAGGAGUUACGGGCAUUUCCAUGGGUAGUUUGCUGACCCAGGUGGUAGUCUGACUCUUCCUCUGUAUCAAUUAGUCAACUUUAACUUCAGCGACUGUGUUCUUGGAGUGGAGCACCGGUGGGCAGGAUGGGCCAAGCAAAGAGUCAUACAUCACGGCACCCACUAUAAAUAAAAUCCGCCUGCGCCACUAACGGACAGCACCAAAAAAAAAAAAAAAAAAAAAAUCAUUAAGACCCGCGUAAAUCUCCUUUUUUGGCUUUUUGUAAAUAGUUGAUGUGAGAGAUGGAGGCGUCUGACAGUAGGCCUAUCUUUUUCUUCCCCUUUGAACCACUUGAGUUAAUUGCAGGUAAUCAGGUGUUUGCUUUUUGCUCAUAUACGAAUGUUGUGUUUGUUGUAGUUGUAAGUUCUCUCUCUCUCUCUCUCUCUCUCUCUCUCUCUCUCUCUCUCUCUCUCUCUCUCUCUC